Molecule: ribosomal RNA, 253 nt
Filed under: uncultured bacterium
Lineage: Bacteria
Description: partial 16S ribosomal RNA
Rfam family: Bacterial small subunit ribosomal RNA
Source: RNAcentral
UACGUAGGGUGCAAGCGUUGUCCGGAAUUAUUGGGCGUAAAGAGCUCGUAGGCGGUUUGUCGCGUCUGCUGUGAAAUCCCAGGGCUUAACCCUGGGCCUGCAGUGGGUACGGGCAAACUAGAGUGAUGUAGGGGAGACUGGAAUUCCUGGUGUAGCGGUGAAAUGCGCAGAUAUCAGGAGGAACACCGAUGGCGAAGGCAGGUCUCUGGGCAUUAACUGACGCUGAGGAGCGAAAGCAUGGGGAGCGAACAGG